RNAcentral lists this non-coding RNA (45 nucleotides) under Schistosoma curassoni. The record is from RNAcentral. Lineage: Eukaryota; Metazoa; Platyhelminthes; Trematoda; Strigeidida; Schistosomatidae.
AUUCAACUGACGAGUCCCGAACAGGACGAAGCACGCGUUCUGGAU